Molecule: ribosomal RNA, 446 nt
Filed under: uncultured bacterium
Lineage: Bacteria
Description: partial 16S ribosomal RNA
Rfam family: Bacterial small subunit ribosomal RNA
Source: RNAcentral
CCUACGGGAGGCAGCAGUCGAGAAUCAUUCACAAUGGUGGAAACCCUGAUGGUGCGACGCCGCGUGGGGGAAUGAAGGUCUUCGGAUUGUAAACCCCUGUCAUGUGAGAGCAAAUUAGAAAGAUAGUACCACAAGAGGAAGAGACGGCUAACUCUGUGCCAGCAACCGCGGUAAUACAGAGGUCUCAAGCGUUGUUCGGAAUCACUGGUCGUAAAGCGUGCGUAGGCGGUUUCGUAAGUCGUGUGUGAAAGGUGCGGGCUCAACCCGCGGACGGCAAAUAAUACUGCGAGACUAGAGUAAUGGAGGGGUAACCGGAAUUCUCGGUGUAGCAGUGAAAUGCUUAGAUAUCGAGAGGAACACUCGUGGCGAAGGCGGGUUCCUGGACAUUAACUGACGCUGAGGCACGAAGGCCAGGGGAGCGAAAGGGAUUAGAUACCCCUGUAGUC